UACGGAGGAUGCAAGCGUUAUCCGGAAUUAUUGGGCGUAAAGCGUCCGCAGGUGGCACUUCAAGUCUGUCGUCAAAGACCGGGGCUUAACCCUGGAAAGGCGAUGGAAACUGAAAGGCUAGAGAGAGGUAGGGGUAGAGGGAAUUCCCAGUGUAGCGGUGAAAUGCGUAGAGAUCGGGAAGAACAUCGGUGGCGAAAGCGCUCUACUGGACCGCAACUGACACUCAGGGACGAAAGCUAGGGGAGCGAAUGGG
Molecule: ribosomal RNA, 253 nt
Filed under: uncultured bacterium
Lineage: Bacteria
Description: partial 16S ribosomal RNA
Rfam family: Bacterial small subunit ribosomal RNA
Source: RNAcentral